GGAAAUACGUGUGAUGAAGUACAGUUAAGUAACACGUGUUAACGUACCUUUUGGAUCGGAACCACACAAGGUAAACAUCGGGGAAUACCGGAUCAGCCUUUCCGGGGAAACAUUUGUCAAUGGAAAGAUCGGUGCCGAGUCUGAUUAGAUAGGUGGCGAGGUAAUGACUAACCAAGGCGACCAUCACUAUACUGGCCUGAUAGGAUGAUCAGCCACAUUGGGACUGAGACACGGCCCAAACUCCUACGGGAGGUAGCCGUGGUCAAUAUCGUACAAUGGGGGCAACCCUGAUCCACCCAUGCCGCGUGAGUGAUGAAUGCCCUCGGCUUGUAACGCUCUUUUCUCCCGUAAGAUAACGACGGCACCGCUAGAAUAAGCCCCGGUUAACUUCGCGCCACCAGCCGCGGUAAUACGGAUGGGGCUAGCGUGGCUCGUCACCACUACCCGUAAUGGGUGCGUAAGGGGGUCUUUAAGUCCUGGGUGAAAUCUUGAAGUUCAACUCCAGAACUGCCUUUGAUACUGACGAUCUUGAGUUCCUUAGAGGUUUAAUGGAACUGCCCAGCCUACACCGUGAAAUAUCGAUCAAAUUCCGCAAGAACACCAUUUGAGUGAAAGGCAGCCUCACUGUCCGCCUAUCCUUUAAUCUUUUUUACCCAAAAUGCACUGCGGAAGCAAACCUGGAAUUAUGAUACGCCUGGCUAAGCCCUUUGCCGGGUAAUACAAACGUAUAUGCCCCGCCCGUC
Molecule: ribosomal RNA, 743 nt
Filed under: Bradyrhizobium yuanmingense
Lineage: Bacteria; Pseudomonadati; Pseudomonadota; Alphaproteobacteria; Hyphomicrobiales; Nitrobacteraceae
Description: bacterial SSU rRNA
Rfam family: Bacterial small subunit ribosomal RNA
Source: RNAcentral